This 497-nucleotide ribosomal RNA is filed under the name uncultured bacterium. RNAcentral describes it as "partial 16S ribosomal RNA". It matches the Rfam family "Bacterial small subunit ribosomal RNA", at positions 28 to 507 of the family's 1533-position model. The record is from RNAcentral.
GAUGAACGCUGGCGGCGUGCCUAAUACAUGCAAGUCGAGCGAACAGACGAGGAGCUUGCUCCUCUUACGUUAGCGGCGGACGGGUGAGUAACACGUGGAUAACCUACCUAUAAGACUGGGAUAACUUCGGGAAACCGGAGCUAAUACCGGAUAAUAUAUUGAACCGCAUGGUUCAAUAGUGAAAGACGGUUUUGCUGUCACUUAUAGAUGGAUCCGCGCCGCAUUAGCUAGUUGGUAAGGUAACGGCUUACCAAGGCAACGAUGCGUAGCCGACCUGAGAGGGUGAUCGGCCACACGGGAACUGAGACACGGUCAAGACUCCUACGGGAGGCAGAAGUAGGGAAUCUUCCGCAAUGGGCGAAAGCUUGACGGAGCAACGCCGCGUGAGUGAUGAAGGUCUUCGGAUCGUAAAACUCUGUUAUUAGGGAAGAACAAAUGUGUAAGUAACUAUGCACGUCUUGACGGUACCUAAUCAGAAAGCCACGGCUAACUACGUG